Molecule: non-coding RNA, 277 nt
Filed under: Medicago truncatula (barrel medic)
Lineage: Eukaryota; Viridiplantae; Streptophyta; Magnoliopsida; Fabales; Fabaceae
Description: Eukaryotic large subunit ribosomal RNA
Rfam family: Eukaryotic large subunit ribosomal RNA
Source: Rfam by way of RNAcentral
CUGACAUGUGUGCGAGUCAACGGGCGAGUAAACCCAUUAGGCGCAAGGAAGCUGAUUGGUGGGAUCCUCUUGUGGGUUGCUCCGCCGACCGACCCCGAUCUUUUUUGAAGGGUUCGAGUGAGAGCAUACCUGUCGGGACCCGAAAGAUGGUGAUCUAUGCCUAAGCGGGCCAAGCCAGAGGAAACUCUAGUGGAGGCCCGCAGCAAUACUGACGUGCAAAUCGUUCGUCUGACUUGGGUAUAGGGGCGAAAGACUAAUCGAACCGUCUAGUAGCUGG